RNAcentral lists this transfer RNA (74 nucleotides) under Gemmatimonadota bacterium. RNAcentral describes it as "tRNA-Ser". It matches the Rfam family "tRNA". From Rfam's summary of the family: Transfer RNA (tRNA) molecules are approximately 80 nucleotides in length. Their secondary structure includes four short double-helical elements and three loops (D, anti-codon, and T loops). Further hydrogen bonds mediate the characteristic L-shaped molecular structure. tRNAs have two regions of fundamental functional importance: the anti-codon, which is responsible for specific mRNA codon recognition, and the 3' end, to which the tRNAs corresponding amino acid is attached (by aminoacyl-tRNA synthetases). tRNAs cope with the degeneracy of the genetic code in two manners: having more than one tRNA (with a specific anti-codon) for a particular amino acid; and 'wobble' base-pairing, i.e. permitting non-standard base-pairing at the 3rd anti-codon position. Lineage: Bacteria; Pseudomonadati; Gemmatimonadota. The record is from RNAcentral.
CCCCUCGCAGCUCGAUUGGAUCGAGCGCCCGACUGCUAAUCGGGAGGUUGCGGGAUCGAGGCCCGCCGAGGGGA